GAGUAGACUGGAGGCGUCAGUUCAGGUAAGUGGCAUGGAAAUGUCUACCGCGGAGGGUGAAAGUCCCGUCCAGCCUGGACAACGACGUUCUCGUACAGGUCUGCUUCAGUCGAGUCGGGUAGCUUGGGAAUGCUGCUCUAAUCGGUGGUAAAUCUCAUCGAAGGCUAAAUACUGGUGGGAGACUGAUAGAAAACAAGUACCGUGAGGGAAAGAUGAAAAGCACUUUGAAAAGAGAGUGAAAAGAACCUGAAACCAUUCUGUGGGAAGCGUAUUGCAUCACAAUGAGAGGCGUUUGCAUGUUCAACCUUUCGGGGUGCAUUCAUGUAAAGGCCUAUCUGUCGUGGGCUUGUGGGCAGUCGAUAUUUUUUUGGGCUGCUUCAGGCUGAGGGCUCCGCGCAAGCGUUGAGGACGGCAGAGGGACGAUGCGAUUCGACCCGUCUUGAAACACGGACCAAGGAGUCUAGCACAUCUGCGAGUCAAAGGGUGUUAAAACCCCAGGGCGCAGUGAAAGCAAUUUGUUCCAUAAAACGAGCAGUUUGAGGCGGCAUACGAUCGUUGAUUGUAAGUCUGACCUAGAGCAAAUGUGCUGGGACCCGAAAGAUGGUGAACUAUGCCGGAGUAGGGCGAAGCCAGAGGAAACUCUGGUGGAGGCUCGUAGCGGUGCUGACGUGCAAAUCGCUCGUCCAACUCGGGUAUAGGGGCGAAAGACUAAUCGAACCAUCUAGUAGCUG
RNAcentral lists this ribosomal RNA (731 nucleotides) under Ceramium sp. LLG-2014. Its description in RNAcentral is "eukaryotic LSU rRNA". It matches the Rfam family "Eukaryotic large subunit ribosomal RNA", at positions 156 to 953 of the family's 3401-position model. Lineage: Eukaryota; Rhodophyta; Florideophyceae; Ceramiales; Ceramiaceae. The record is from RNAcentral.